Molecule: ribosomal RNA, 440 nt
Filed under: uncultured bacterium
Lineage: Bacteria
Description: partial 16S ribosomal RNA
Rfam family: Bacterial small subunit ribosomal RNA
Source: RNAcentral
CCUACGGGAGGCAGCAGUAGGGAAUAUUGCUCAAUGGGGGAAACCCUGAAGCUGCAACGCCGCGUGGAGGAUGAAGGUUUUCGGAUUGUAAACUCCUUUUGUUAGAGAAGAUAAUGACGGUAUCUAACGAAUAAGCACCGGCUAACUCCGUGCCAGCAGCCGCGGUAAUACGGAGGGUGCAAGCGUUACUCGGAAUCACUGGGCGUAAAGAGCGCGUAGGCGGGAUAGCAAGUCAGAUGUGAAAUCCUAUGGCUUAACCAUAGAACUGCAUUUGAAACUGUUAUUCUAGAGUAUGGGAGAGGUAGGUGGAAUUCGUGGUGUAGGGGUAAAAUCCGUAGAGAUCAAGAGGAAUACUCAUUGCGAAGGCGACCUGCUGGAACAUAACUGACGCUGAUGCGCGAAAGCGUGGGGAGCAAACAGGAUUAGAUACCCGAGUAGUC